Molecule: ribosomal RNA, 657 nt
Filed under: uncultured fungus
Lineage: Eukaryota; Fungi
Description: eukaryotic LSU rRNA
Rfam family: Eukaryotic large subunit ribosomal RNA
Source: RNAcentral
CCCGCUGAACUUAAGCAUAUCAAUAAGCGGAGGAAAAGAAACUAACAAGGAUUCCCCUAGUAACUGCGAGUGAAGCGGGAAAAGCUCAAAUUUGAAAUCUGGCGGCUCCGUCGCCCGAGUUGUAUUCUGGAGAAGCGUCUUCCGCGUCGGACCGUGUACAAGUGCCUUGGAACAGGACGUCAUAGAGAGGUGAGAAUCCCGUCUUUGACACGGACGCCCGAUGCUCUGUGAUGCGCUCUCGAAGAGUAGAGUUGUGCGGGAACUGCAGCUCAAAACGGGUGGUACAUUCCAUCUAAAGCUAAAUAUUGCCGAGAGACCGAUAGCGAACAAGUACCGAGAGGGAAAGAUGAAAAGCACUUUGGAAAGAGAGUAAAACAGUACGUGAAAUUGUUGAAAGGGAAACGCUUGAAGUCAGUCGCGACUGCCGCAACUCAUCCUUGCUUCUGCGUGCUGCACUUUCCGGCCUGACAGGCCAGCAUCGGUUUCGAGCGGCGGACAAUGGCGAGAGGAACGUGGCAGCUCCGGAUGUGUUAUAGACCCGGGUACAUAUACAGUGGUUGGGAUUGAGGAACGCAGCGCGUUAACUGGGGAAUAUCUCCCACAUCAGCGCUUAGGAUGCUGGCUUAAUGGCUUUAAUCGACCCGUCUUGAAACACGG